RNAcentral lists this unclassified non-coding RNA (284 nucleotides) under Hevea brasiliensis (rubber tree). Lineage: Eukaryota; Viridiplantae; Streptophyta; Magnoliopsida; Malpighiales; Euphorbiaceae. The record is from RNAcentral.
UAAGAACCCAUUUUCAUCCCUCUAAUACGUUAAACAUAAUCUCAACUACUAUUCACUUCACUAGCAAUUCAAACAAUACCUUGGCGACGAAAAAUUAACAGAAGCCUACAGAAUCAGGUCCAAAUGAUCAGAGACUGGCUAUUUACUUAUGCAUUAAUAAACACACAGGAAUUCCUACAAAAGUAAAUAAAUGAACGCAGAGGAAAAACUUUCAAAAUCCCAUGUACAUCCAAACAUAUCACAUCUGAAUAAAUUGAACUGUCCCCAUUGUCGGAUUUCUAAAU